RNAcentral lists this ribosomal RNA (415 nucleotides) under Tomodon dorsatus. RNAcentral's name for it is "partial 16S ribosomal RNA". It matches the Rfam family "Bacterial large subunit ribosomal RNA", at positions 1911 to 2550 of the family's 2925-position model. The record is from RNAcentral. Lineage: Eukaryota; Metazoa; Chordata; Lepidosauria; Squamata; Dipsadidae.
AGUGAAUAAUUCAACGGCCGCGGUACCCUAACCGUGCAAAGGUAGCAUAAUCACUUGUCUAUUAAUUGUAGACCAGCAUGAACGGUAAAAUGAAGGCCUAACUGUCUCUUAUAGUAAAUCAAUUAAACUGAUCCCCUAGUAAAAAAGCUAGGAUAACUACAUAAGACCAGAAGACCCUGUGAAGCUUAAACUACCCUAUUAAACCCUAUAAUAGCUACUUUCGGUUGGGGCGACCCUGGAAAGAAAAAGAACUUCCAAUAAUGGCUAUAAACCACACACAGGCCCACAAGCCCACACUGACCCAGUAAAACUGAUAAUCGAACCAAGUUACUCCAGGGAUAACAGCGCCAUCUUCUUCAAGAGUCCAUAUCAAAAAGAAGGUUUACGACCUCGAUGUUGGAUCAGGACAUCCUAA